GGAGUGGCGGAGCUAUACAUGCAGUCGAGCGGACAGAUGGGAGCUUGCUCCCUGAUGUUAGCGGCGGACGGGUGAGUAACACGUGGGUAACCUGCCUGUAAGACUGGGAUAACUCCGGGAAACCGGGGCUAAUACCGGAUGGUUGUUUGAACCGCAUGGUUCAAACAUAAAAGGUGGCUUCGGCUACCACUUACAGAUGGACCCGCGGCGCAUUAGCUAGUUGGUGAGGUAACGGCUCACCAAGGCGACGAUGCGUAGCCGACCUGAGAGGGUGAUCGGCCACACUGGGACUGAGACACGGCCCAGACUCCUACGGGAGGCAGCAGUAGGGAAUCUUCCGCAAUGGACGAAAGUCUGACGGAGCAACGCCGCGUGAGUGAUGAAGGUUUUCGGAUCGUAAAGCUCUGUUGUUAGGGAAGAACAAGUACCGUUCGAAUAGGGCGGUACCUUGACGGUACCUAACCAGAAAGCCACGGCUAACUACGUGCCAGCAGCCGCGGUAAUACGUAGGUGGCAAGCGUUGUCCGGAAUUAUUGGGCGUAAAGGGCUCGCAGGCGGUUUCUUAAGUCUGAUGUGAAAGCCCCCGGCUCAACCGGGGAGGGUCAUUGGAAACUGGGGAACUUGAGUGCAGAAGAGGAGAGUGGAAUUCCACGUGUAGCGGUGAAAUGCGUAGAGAUGUGGAGGAACACCAGUGGCGAAGGCGACUCUCUGGUCUGUAACUGACGCUGAGGAGCGAAAGCGUGGGGAGCGAACAGGAUUAGAUACCCUGGUAGUCCACGCCGUAAACGAUGAGUGCUAAGUGUUAGGGGGUUUCCGCCCCUUAGUGCUGCAGCUAACGCAUUAAGCACUCCGCCUGGGGAGUACGGUCGCAAGACUGAAACUCAAAGGAAUUGACGGGGGCCCGCACAAGCGGUGGAGCAUGUGGUUUAAUUCGAAGCAACGCGAAGAACCUUACCAGGUCUUGACAUCCUCUGACAUCCUAGAGAUAGGACGUCCCCUUCGGGGGCAGAGUGACAGGUGGUGCAUGGUGUCGUCAGCUCGUGUCGUGAGAUGUUGGGUUAAGUCCCGCAACGAGCGCAACCUUGAAUCUUAGUUGCCAGCAUCAGUGGGCACUCUAAGGUGACUGCCGUGACAACCGGAGGAAAGGGUGGGGGGAAUGAACGUCCAAUC
Molecule: ribosomal RNA, 1170 nt
Filed under: Bacillus subtilis
Lineage: Bacteria; Bacillati; Bacillota; Bacilli; Caryophanales; Bacillaceae
Description: bacterial SSU rRNA
Rfam family: Bacterial small subunit ribosomal RNA
Source: RNAcentral